GAUGAACGCUGGCGGCGUGCCUAAUACAUGCAAGUCGAGCGAACGGACGAGAAGCUUGCUUCUCUGAUGUUAGCGGCGGACGGGUGAGUAACACGUGGAUAACCUACCUAUAAGACUGGGAUAACUUCGGGAAACCGGAGCUAAUACCGGAUAAUAUUUUGAACCGCAUGGUUCAAAAGUGAAAGACGGUCUUGCUGUCACUUAUAGAUGGAUCCGCGCUGCAUUAGCUAGUUGGUAAGGUAACGGCUUACCAAGGCAACGAUGCAUAGCCGACCUGAGAGGGUGAUCGGCCACACUGGAGCUGAGACACGGUCCAGACUCCUACGGGAGGCAGCAGUAGGGAAUCUUCCGCAAUGGGCGAAAGCCUGACGGAGCAACGCCGCGUGAGUGAUGAAGGUCUUCGGAUCGUAAAACUCUGUUAUUAGGGAAGAACAUAUGUGUAAGUAACUGUGCACAUCUUGACGGUACCUAAUCAGAAAGCCACGGCUAACUACGUGC
This 498-nucleotide ribosomal RNA is filed under the name uncultured bacterium. RNAcentral's name for it is "partial 16S ribosomal RNA". It matches the Rfam family "Bacterial small subunit ribosomal RNA", at positions 28 to 508 of the family's 1533-position model. The record is from RNAcentral.